This is a non-coding RNA of Jackrogersella minutella, 117 nucleotides long. The record is from the annotation of a GenBank genome assembly. NCBI's taxonomy places the organism in Eukaryota, Fungi, Ascomycota, Sordariomycetes, Xylariales, Hypoxylaceae.
GGCAGAAUGGCCGAGUGGUUAUGGCGGAGGGUUCAAGCUUAUCAACUUACCUAAUGGAAAACUUGGGUACGCUUUCCUCUGGAGCAAUCCGCAGGGGUUCGAAUCCCCUUUCUGUCA